GGAGUAUCGGAAGGAUCAUUG
This 21-nucleotide ribosomal RNA is filed under the name Trichocentrum cosymbephorum. RNAcentral's name for it is "partial 18S ribosomal RNA". The record is from RNAcentral. Lineage: Eukaryota; Viridiplantae; Streptophyta; Magnoliopsida; Asparagales; Orchidaceae.